GUCGCGCUCGCUCAGCAGCCUGGCGGUGCGCACCUCGCCAUUGUGCGCCCACACGCCGAAUAGCCCGGGCUCUGUGGCCUUGAGCAGCUGGUACGACAGCCAGGCUUUCUGGCCCGAGUCGCGCCACCACGUUGGUCACCAGGUAGCCCGGCUUGGCCGCCCGGGGCACCAGCUCGGUGCAGGGCGCGGAGCCGUUCUGCAGCGGGUACAGCACGAAGGGCGAGUUGUCGUUGGCGUCCAGCACCAGCACGCGCACCAGCGCCUCGCUGCUCAGCGCGGGGAGCCGCGGUCUGUGGCGCCCACGCGGAACUCGAAAGCCUGCAGGGCCUCGUAGUCCAGAGACCUGAGGGCGAACAGCCUUGGAGUCCCCGUAUCUGUGAUGGUGAGGGUGGUAUUAUAUUCAGCUCUUGCUUCUCUGUCGAGUGCUCUCUCCGUUACCAAGGUGUAAAAGUUCUUGACUGAAGGUUUUAGAAGA
This 475-nucleotide non-coding RNA is filed under the name Pongo abelii (Sumatran orangutan). The record is from RNAcentral. Lineage: Eukaryota; Metazoa; Chordata; Mammalia; Primates; Hominidae.